UGGCUCAGGAUGAACGCUGGCGGCGUGCUUAACACAUGCAAGUCGAACGAUGAAGCCAGCUUGCUGGUGGAUUAGUGGCGAACGGGUGAGUAACACGUGAGUAACCUGCCCUUGACUCUGGGAUAAGCCUGGGAAACUGGGUCUAAUACCGGAUAUGACUCCUCAUCGCAUGGUGGGGGGUGGAAAGCUUUUUGUGGUUUUGGAUGGACUCGCGGCCUAUCAGCUUGUUGGUGAGGUAAUGGCUCACCAAGGCGACGACGGGUAGCCGGCCUGAGAGGGUGACCGGCCACACUGGGACUGAGACACGGCCCAGACUCCUACGGGAGGCAGCAGUGGGGAAUAUUGCACAAUGGGCGAAAGCCUGAUGCAGCGACGCCGCGUGAGGGAUGACGGCCUUCGGGUUGUAAACCUCUUUCAGUAGGGA
This 424-nucleotide ribosomal RNA is filed under the name Arthrobacter sp. 144-4.2-CV-H05(s)-06. RNAcentral describes it as "bacterial SSU rRNA". It matches the Rfam family "Bacterial small subunit ribosomal RNA", at positions 20 to 445 of the family's 1533-position model. Lineage: Bacteria; Bacillati; Actinomycetota; Actinomycetes; Micrococcales; Micrococcaceae. The record is from RNAcentral.